Molecule: ribosomal RNA, 390 nt
Filed under: Triticum aestivum (bread wheat)
Lineage: Eukaryota; Viridiplantae; Streptophyta; Magnoliopsida; Poales; Poaceae
Description: partial small subunit ribosomal RNA
Source: RNAcentral
AUGAUGGCGGCUUCCCUCCGCACGACGGCGACGAGGAUCCUGCGUCUGGCGGGGCAGGGGCUUCGCCGGCUCGUCCACACCCAGCAGCAAUCUAGAUCCACCCCUUCGUUGGAGGACCGUGCAGCGCAAAUCCAGCAGAAGAGGGAGGAGCUGUAUGAUCUCAUCGCCCGUGCUCAGUCCAAGAAGGUUGGUCUAUUUUCCACGGCUUCCCAGGAAGACAGACAUAUGCUCAGGAUUCUCUGCACACAAAUCAAGCCAAGACCAAAUGACCCUCAAUGGUACAAUAUCUAUCAACCAUAUUUCCUGUGUUUUCCCUCUGCUACAGGACUUGACCCUCGAUGGUACAAUAUUGACCAUAUGUUUCCAUAUGUAGACAGCUAUUUGCUCUGA